GAAAUUUUAGUUAAAUAUAUAACAUAGGCAUGUCAUUCCUAAAUUACCUAAGGUAAAUUUCU
RNAcentral lists this transfer RNA (62 nucleotides) under Neoamphitrite affinis. Its description in RNAcentral is "tRNA-Asp". Lineage: Eukaryota; Metazoa; Annelida; Polychaeta; Terebellida; Terebellidae. The record is from RNAcentral.